UUACCUACGGGGGGCAGCAGUGGGGAAUAUUGGGCAAUGGAGGCAACUCUGACCCAGCAACGCCGCGUGAGUGAUGAAGGUCUUCGGAUUGUAAAACUCUUUAAGUGGGGACGAAGAAAGUGACUGUACCCACAGAAUAAGCCUCGGCUAACUACGUGCCAGCAGCCGCGGUAAUACGUAGGAGGCAAGCGUUAUCCGGAAUGACUGGGCGUAAAGGGUGCGUAGGUGGUUCGACAAGUUGGUAGCGUAAUUCCGGGGCUCAACCUCGGCGCUACUACCAAAACUGUUGGGCUUGAGUGCAGGAG
This 305-nucleotide ribosomal RNA is filed under the name uncultured bacterium. RNAcentral's name for it is "bacterial SSU rRNA". It matches the Rfam family "Bacterial small subunit ribosomal RNA", at positions 335 to 654 of the family's 1533-position model. The record is from RNAcentral.